GACGAACGCUGGCGGCGUGCUUAACACAUGCAAGUCGAACGGAAAGGCCCUGCUUUUGUGGGGUGCUCGAGUGGCGAACGGGUGAGUAACACGUGAGUAACCUGCCCUUGACUUUGGGAUAACUUCAGGAAACUGGGGCUAAUACCGGAUAGGAGCUCCUGCUGCAUGGUGGGGGUUGGAAAGUUUCGGCGGUUGGGGAUGGACUCGCGGCUUAUCAGCUUGUUGGUGGGGUAGUGGCUUACCAAGGCUUUGACGGGUAGCCGGCCUGAGAGGGUGACCGGCCACAUUGGGACUGAGAUACGGCCCAGUCUCCUACGGGAGGCAGCAGUGGGGAGUAUUGCACAAUGGGCGGAAGCCUGAUGCAGCAACGCCGCGUGCGGGAUGACGGCCUUCGGGUUGUAAACCGCUUUCGCCUGUGACGAAGCGUGAGUGACGGUAAUGGGUAAAGAAGCACCGGCUAACUACGUG
RNAcentral lists this ribosomal RNA (468 nucleotides) under uncultured bacterium. Its description in RNAcentral is "partial 16S ribosomal RNA". It matches the Rfam family "Bacterial small subunit ribosomal RNA", at positions 28 to 507 of the family's 1533-position model. The record is from RNAcentral.